AAGCUCGUAGUUGGAUUUCGGGGCUCCUUAUGUAAUAGUCAUGCGGUGGACACUUGCUUGUUGCUUUAGGGGGGUGUUUUUUUGGGGCAACCCGAGGACACCACCCGGCGGCAGGGGAAAGGCCACUGCGGGCGGGGCCCAUUUAUAUUUCUCGAAGACGUCACGGGCCCUUAACUGGUGUACUGUGGUCGCGGAUUCGAGACGUUUACUCUGAAAAAAUUAGAGUGUUCAAAGCAGGCAAUCAAAAACGCUUGAAUACAUUAGCAUGGAAUAAUGGAAUAGGACUUUGGUCUUAUUUUGUUGGUUUCUAGGACUGAAGUAAUGAUUAAUAGGGACAGUUGGGGGCAUUCGUAUUUAAUUGUCAGAGGUGAAAUUCUUGGAUUUAUGAAAGACGAACUUCUGCGAAAGCAUUUGCCAAGGAUGUUUUCAUUAAUCAAGAACGAAAGUUAGGGGAUCGAAGACGAUUAGAUACCGUCGUAGUCCUAACCAUAAACUAUGCCGACUAGGGAUCAGUGGGGAACAAAUCAAAAAACUCCAUUGGCACCUUAUGAGAAAUCAAAGUUUUUGGGUUCUGGGGAGAGUACCAACGCAAGUUGGAAACUUAAAGGAAUUGACGGAAGGGCACACCAGGCGUGGAAUCUGCGGCUUAAUUUGACUCAACACGGGGAAACUCACCAGGUCCAGACAAAAUAAGGAUUGACAGAUUGAGAGCUCUUUCUUGAUUUUUUGGGCAGUGGUGCAUGGCCGUUCUUAGUUGGUGGAGCGAUCUGUCUGGUUAAUUCCGAUAACGAACGAGACCUUAACCUGCUAAAUAGCGACGUCAUUCCUUGUGAAGGACGGAUUUUGACUUCUUAGAGGGACUAUCGGUGACUAACCGAUGGAAGUUUGAGGCAAUAACAGGUCUGUGAUGCCCUUAGAUGUUCUGGGCCGCACGCGCGUUACACUGACAGAGGCAGCGAGUUUUUUUAAAUAUCCUGGCCUGGAAAGGUUUGGGUAAUCUUGUGAAUCUCUGUCGUGAUGGGGAUAGAUCUUUGUAAUUAUCGAUCUUCAACGAGGAAUGCCUUGUAAUCGCGGUUCGUCAAAUCGCGUUGACUACGUCCCUGCCCUUUGUACACACCGCCCGUCGCUACUACCGAUUGAAUGGUUUAGUGAGGUCUCGGGACUGGCGCGGCUUGGCUGUAAAAGGCCGAUCCAUGCUGGGAACUUGCCCAAACUUGAUCAUUUAGAGGAAGUAAAAGUC
RNAcentral lists this ribosomal RNA (1240 nucleotides) under metagenome. RNAcentral describes it as "SSU rRNA". It matches the Rfam family "Eukaryotic small subunit ribosomal RNA", at positions 624 to 1790 of the family's 1831-position model. The record is from RNAcentral.